GACAACAGCCAAUCCUGGAACCUAAACAGAUUGAAGGAUGAAAAGCAUUAAAAUCCAUGUUUCAUAAGAAAAGAUAAAGAAUUUACACACUAACAGUUGGUUCAACUAGUUUAAUCAAUUUAGCAUCAUAUUUCAGAAGCAAGAACACUAAGCUCGGUAAUUGUAUUAAGCAGAUAUAAAGCAACAGCACAGGAUCAAGAACAUGUAUUUUAUCUAUAUUUAAAUCAUUCCAUAGUAUCUAAUGGACGGAUAAUCCAAUUGAUAAAUCUAAGCACAGGAUAGCCAGGAAUCUAAUUAGAUAGCAAAAAAUAUACAAAUAUCCAAGGAACAAAUGAACAAAUUCUCCAUAAUUGAAAAUUAGCACUUCUAUCCCAGCAUUGAAUACGGAAGCAACAUUUCUACCUCUCGAUAUCUCAACAGCACCGUCUCGAUUCAUUGGAAAAAGAAAAAAGAAUUGGAUGAGGAAAAAACCAGGAAAAGAAACACUUGUAUACACAUGAACUCACCAGCGAACUGAAGGAAGCGACUAGGAGUUCCCAUACUAAUAGAUAUGUCUAUGGAUUAGCAGAAAUUCAAGUGACUAGAAUAGGAUGAAGGAAACAUAGAUUGCCAAAUUGUACAGACCUUGCCG
Molecule: unclassified non-coding RNA, 631 nt
Filed under: Hevea brasiliensis (rubber tree)
Lineage: Eukaryota; Viridiplantae; Streptophyta; Magnoliopsida; Malpighiales; Euphorbiaceae
Source: RNAcentral